This 79-nucleotide transfer RNA is filed under the name Mesorhizobium sp. STM 4661. Its description in RNAcentral is "tRNA-Pro". It matches the Rfam family "tRNA". From Rfam's summary of the family: Transfer RNA (tRNA) molecules are approximately 80 nucleotides in length. Their secondary structure includes four short double-helical elements and three loops (D, anti-codon, and T loops). Lineage: Bacteria; Pseudomonadati; Pseudomonadota; Alphaproteobacteria; Hyphomicrobiales; Phyllobacteriaceae. The record is from RNAcentral.
CUGGGUGUAGCUCAGCCUGGCCAGAGUGCUCGGUCUGGACCCGAGAAGUUCGUAGGUUCAAAUCCUACCACCCAGACCA